RNAcentral lists this long non-coding RNA (1581 nucleotides) under Mytilus galloprovincialis (Mediterranean mussel). The record is from RNAcentral. Lineage: Eukaryota; Metazoa; Mollusca; Bivalvia; Mytilida; Mytilidae.
UAUGUAAUCAAAUAUAAAAAUCUUGAUAAUUCAAAACAGUAAAGAGACACAUCGGGAUUUGACAUGAAAUCUGUAUGUGUUACUCUAUUUUUGGUAUUGACUGUUGGUAUGUAUGGAUUUUUUAAGUAAAGAUACUUGUUAUAUUUACCGUUUUCAAAUCUGAACAUCUUUGUUUGUUUGUUAUAUUUACCAAUGUCAAAUCUGAACAGAUUUAUUUUCGAGGAUAAUUUUAAAAAGUGGAGCCACAUGGGCAAGUGUUUCUUCUUAUUGUUUAAAAGUUGGUAAAAGGGACGGGAGUGUAUACUUAAGUGAGACAGCUUUCAAUUGAAAUGUUGAAACCGAAAGACAGUAUGUCUUUUUAGCUCACCUGGCUCCAAGCAUUUAAAGCAAACCCGACAUGUGUAAAAUUGUUCAUCAGGUCAAGAAAUAUCAGCCCUGAAAUUUUCAGAAAAUCGGACAGUCCGUUGUUGGGUUGCUGCCUCUGUACUUGGUGAUUUAAAUAGUAUUAUAGAAAGAGAGAUAAACACUAAGCAGCAAUUAUAUGCAGCACAGUAAGAUCAACAUAUAAGUCAACAUGAGUUUAUUAUGAACCGGCCUUCCAACCAGUAUGCAUAGUCUAAAUUGCCUAUUAUCAUACUAACUAUGAUAUUUAGAGAGAAACAUUUUUAUGCCCCACCUACGAUAGUAGAGGGGCAUUAUGUUUUCUGGUCUGUGCGUCCGUUCGUUCGUCCGUCCGUCCGUCCGUCUGUCCCGCUUCAGGUUAAAGUUUUUGGUCGAGGUAGUUUUUGAUGAAGUUGAAGUCCAAUCAACUUCAAACUUGGUACACAUGUUCCCUAUGAUAUGAUCUUUCUAAUUUUAAUGCCAAAUUAGAGAUUUUACCCCAAUUUCACGGUCCACUGAACAUAGAAAAUAAUAGUGCGAGUGGGGCAUUCGUGUACUGAGGACACAUUCUUGUUUUUUGUAUGAUUUAAAUCAAUAUAGAUAAAUGAUCGCUGUAAAUCACAAAUUUAUCUGCAGGACAAAAUCUAGUAAAGUCAAAUAUUGCCGAUAUAGUUAGUAGACUGUUAAUGUAGUAGGACUGCCAAUGAGACAACUUUCCAUCAGAGUUCAAAUGAAGUGGAUGUAAGCAAUCAUAGGCAACCAUAUACGAAAAACCCAUACCGUUUAGUCGGCUAUAAAAGGCCCCGCCAUGAAAGAUAUGAAACAAAUCAAUUGAGAAAACCAACCGUCUAAUGUAUAACAAAACAAUUUACGAAAAACAAAUAUAACAGACAUAAAUGAACCGAGGACAACCACUGAACUAUAGGCUCCUGACUGGUGCAAAUAAGAAAUUAGUCUAGAAAACAUAUGGAGAACGCAUUUAAUAGUUUGUGGGCAUUUGAUAUAAAAAAAUAUAAUGACUGACACCUUUAAUUGUAUCAGUUUAUUUUUUUACCAUAGUGGUUUUUGUUGUUCAAUAAUUACUACAGGUGUGGUCUGUUUUCAGAUUCCGUACACAGUAUAUGUCCAUUCGGCUGGAUUAGAUUCAGCUCUUCGUGUUAUUUGUUCCACAGGUCGCUGUCGACAUGGAUUGAUUCUUCC